AGUGAACGCUUUCUUUCUUCCUAACACAUGCAAGUCGAACGGCAGCACAGUAAGAGCUUGCUCUUACGGGUGGCGAGUGGCGGACGGGUGAGGAAUACAUCGGAAUCUACUUUUUCGUGGGGGAUAACGUAGGGAAACUUACGCUAAUACCGCAUACGACCUACGGGUGAAAGCAGGGGAUCUUCGGACCUUGCGCGAUUGAAUGAGCCGAUGUCGGAUUAGCUAGUUGGCGGGGUAAAGGCCCACCAAGGCGACGAUCCGUAGCUGGUCUGAGAGGAUGAGAAGCCACACUGGAACUGAGACACGGUCCAGACUCCUACGGGAGGCAGCAGUGGGGAAUAUUGGACAAUGGGCGCAAGCCUGAUCCAGCCAUACCGCGUGGGUGAAGAAGGCCUUCGGGUUGUAAAGAAAUUUUGUUGGGAAAGAAAAGCAGCAGGUUAAUACCCCGCUGUUCUGACGGUACCCAAAGAAUAAGCAAAGGCUAAAUUCGUG
Molecule: ribosomal RNA, 492 nt
Filed under: uncultured bacterium
Lineage: Bacteria
Description: partial 16S ribosomal RNA
Rfam family: Bacterial small subunit ribosomal RNA
Source: RNAcentral